This 610-nucleotide long non-coding RNA is filed under the name Astyanax mexicanus (Mexican tetra). RNAcentral describes it as "lncRNA (ENSAMXG00005002064.1)". The record is from RNAcentral. Lineage: Eukaryota; Metazoa; Chordata; Actinopteri; Characiformes; Acestrorhamphidae.
GCCUACUGUUUGAUUAACCAGCUUUGGAUUAAUACGCUGGAUAACAUUUUUAAAACCAAACUAAAUGGAAACCGGUUAUUCUGAAAUAUGUGAAUUCUAUUUACUCUCUGAGUUAGUUGAUAUAACUGUCCUUAGCGUACUUUACCUUUUUUCUGUUGUCUUCAAAUCACAUUUCCAGACUGCAGACAUUCAGAGUAGAACCUCCAGAGCUCAGUUGUGUGCCUAUGAAGAGCAACUGCUCGAUGGAUGACCCGUCUAGUUUCAGUAAUGAAAGAAGCACCACUGACUUGAGACUGCAGACAUUCAGAGCAGAACCUCCAGAGCCCAGCUGUGUGUCUAUGAAGAGCAGCUGCUCGAUGUAUGAGCCUCCUGAAUUCAGUAAUGAAAGAAGCAGUGUUGACUUCAGACUGCAGACAUUCAGAGCAGAACAUCCAGAGCCCAGCUGUGUGUCUAUGAAGAGCAACCACUCGAUGUAUGAGCCUCCUAAAUUCACUAAUGAAAGAAGCAGUGCUGACUUUAGGUGAGAUCUUAAUACAAUGUGAACACAACAGGCCUUUAUAGCACAGAGUGAAGUAUAAAAAUGAGGAGAGUGCAGAUAAACUAAACCGAG